RNAcentral lists this ribosomal RNA (495 nucleotides) under uncultured bacterium. RNAcentral describes it as "partial 16S ribosomal RNA". It matches the Rfam family "Bacterial small subunit ribosomal RNA", at positions 28 to 507 of the family's 1533-position model. The record is from RNAcentral.
GAUGAACGCUGGCGACGUGCCUAAUACAUGCAAGUAGAACGCUGAAGGAGGAGCUUGCUCUUCUGGAUGAGUUGCGAACGGGUGAGUAACGCGUAGGUAACCUGCCUGGUAGCGUGGGAUAACUAUUGGAAACGAUAGCUAAUACCGCAUGACAACAGUUAUUGCAUGAUAACUGUUGAAAAGGGGCAACUGCUCCACUACCAGAUGGACCUGCGUUGUAUUAGCUAGUUGGUGAGGUAACGGCUCACCAAGGCGACGAUACAUAGCCGACCUGAGAGGGUGGUCGGGCAACAUGGGAAUGAGGAAAGGCCCAGGAUUCUACGGGAGGGCGCCGGAGGGAAACUUCGGCAAUGGACGGAAGGCUGACCGAACAAAGGCGCGUGAGUGAAGAAGGUUUUCGGAUCGUAAAGCUCUGUUGUAAGAGAAGAAAGAGUGUGAGAGUGGAAAGUUCACACUGUGACGGUAUCUUACCAGAAAGGGACGGCUAACUACGUG